Molecule: ribosomal RNA, 776 nt
Filed under: uncultured Pseudonocardiaceae bacterium
Lineage: Bacteria; Bacillati; Actinomycetota; Actinomycetes; Pseudonocardiales; Pseudonocardiaceae
Description: bacterial SSU rRNA
Rfam family: Bacterial small subunit ribosomal RNA
Source: RNAcentral
AGAGUUUGAUCAUGGCUCAGGACGAACGCUGGCGGCGUGCUUAACACAUGCAAGUCGAGCGGUAAGGCCCUUUCGAGGGUACACGAGCGGCGAACGGGUGAGUAACACGUGGGUGACCUGCCCUCAGCUCUGGGAUAAGCCUGGGAAACCGGGUCUAAUACCGGAUAUGACUCCAUGACGCAUGUUGUGGGGUGGAAAGCCUUGUGCGGCUGGGGAUGGGCCCGCGGCCUAUCAGCUUGUUGGUGGGGUGAUGGCCUACCAAGGCGACGACGGGUAGCCGGCCUGAGAGGGCGACCGGCCACACUGGGACUGAGACACGGCCCAGACUCCUACGGGAGGCAGCAGUGGGGAAUCUUGCACAAUGGGCGCAAGCCUGAUGCAGCGACGCCGCGUGUGGGAUGAAGGCUUUCGGGUUGUAAACCACUUUCAGCGGGGACGAAGCCUCACGGUGACGGUACCCGCAGAAGAAGGUCCGGCCAACUACGUGCCAGCAGCCGCGGUAAUACGGAGGGGGCAAGUGUUGUUCGGAAUUACUGGGCGUAAAGGGCGCGCAGGCGGCUUGGCAAGUCGAGUGUGAAAUACCUCAGCUUAACUGAGGAAUGGCGCUCGAAACUACCUCGCUAGAGGGCGGGAGAGGGAAGUGGAACUCUCGGUGUAGGGGUGAAAUCUGUAGAUAUCGAGAGGAACACCGGUGGCGAAGGCGGCUUCCUGGCCCGUACCUGACGCUGAGGCGCGAAAGCGUGGGGAGCAAACAGGAUUAGAUACCCUCGUAGUCC